Molecule: ribosomal RNA, 497 nt
Filed under: uncultured bacterium
Lineage: Bacteria
Description: partial 16S ribosomal RNA
Rfam family: Bacterial small subunit ribosomal RNA
Source: RNAcentral
GAUGAACGCUGGCGGCGUGCCUAAUACAUGCAAGUCGAGCGAACAGACGAGGAGCUUGCUCCUCUGACGUUAGCGGCGGACGUGUGAGUAACACGUGGAUAACCUACCUAUAAGACUGGGAUAACUUCGGGAAACCGGAGCUAAUACCGGAUAAUAUAUUGAACCGCAUGGUUCAAUAGUGAAAUACGGUUUUGCUGUCACUUAUAGAUGGAUCCGCGCCGCAUUAGCUAGUUGGUAAGGUAAAGGCUUACCAAGGCAACGAUGCGUAGCCGAACUGAGAGGGGGAUCGGCCACACUGGAAGUGAGACACGGACCAGACUCCUACGGGAGGCAGCAGUAGGGAAUCUUCCGCAAUGGGCGAAAGCCUGACGGAGCAACGCCGCGUGAGUGAUGAAGGUCUUCGGAUCGUAAAACUCUGUUAUUAGGGAAGAACAAAUGUGUAAGUAACUAUGCACGUCUUGACGGUACCUAAUAAGAAAGCAACGGCUAACUACGUG